GCCGAAGUGGUGGAAUUGGUAGACACGCUAUCUUGAGGGGGUAGUGNNUGCGAGUUCGAGUCUCGCCUUCGGCACCA
This 77-nucleotide transfer RNA is filed under the name Desulfobulbaceae bacterium. Its description in RNAcentral is "tRNA-Leu". It matches the Rfam family "tRNA". From Rfam's summary of the family: Transfer RNA (tRNA) molecules are approximately 80 nucleotides in length. Their secondary structure includes four short double-helical elements and three loops (D, anti-codon, and T loops). Further hydrogen bonds mediate the characteristic L-shaped molecular structure. tRNAs have two regions of fundamental functional importance: the anti-codon, which is responsible for specific mRNA codon recognition, and the 3' end, to which the tRNAs corresponding amino acid is attached (by aminoacyl-tRNA synthetases). tRNAs cope with the degeneracy of the genetic code in two manners: having more than one tRNA (with a specific anti-codon) for a particular amino acid; and 'wobble' base-pairing, i.e. permitting non-standard base-pairing at the 3rd anti-codon position. The record is from RNAcentral. Lineage: Bacteria; Pseudomonadati; Thermodesulfobacteriota; Desulfobulbia; Desulfobulbales; Desulfobulbaceae.